CUACGGGGGGCUCCAGUGGGGAAUAUUGCACAAUGGGCGCAAGCCUGAUGCAGCCAUGCCGCGUGUAUGAAGAAGGCCUUCGGGUUGUAAAGUACUUUCAGCGGGGAGGAAGGGAGUAAAGUUAAUACCUUUGCUCAUUGACGUUACCCGCAGAAGAAGCACCGGCUAACUCCGUGCCAGCAGCCGCGGUAAUACGGAGAGUGCAAGCGUUAAUCGGAGUUACUGGGCGUAAAGCGCACGCAGGCGGUUUGUUAAGUCAGAUGUGAAAUCCCCGGGCUCAACCUGGGAACUGCAUCUGAUACUGGCAAGCUUGAGUCUCGUAGAGGGGGGUAGAAUUCCAGGUGUAGCGGUGAAAUGCGUAGAGAUCUGGAGGAAUACCGGUGGCGAAGGCGGCCCCCUGGACGAAGACUGACGCUCAGGUGCGAAAGCGUGGGGAGCAAACAGGAUUAGAUACCCGAGUAGUC
Molecule: ribosomal RNA, 464 nt
Filed under: uncultured bacterium
Lineage: Bacteria
Description: partial 16S ribosomal RNA
Rfam family: Bacterial small subunit ribosomal RNA
Source: RNAcentral